UACAAAGUCAUGUAUGUUGAAUGCAAAUUUACAAUUGCCUCAUGAAGGGGACCCAAAUUUUCAGAUGGAAUGACUACCAGCGAACGAAUUCUUUCAUAAACCAACAUCAAUUGUUCUAGUUUUCCCUCGAUAUCUUGCAAAUAUGACUGAGCAUUCAAAGAACUAGAUACAUUUUUCGUCAACGUGGUUUCCUCAUGCACAAUCAAAUCGGUAAUUUGCCGCUCUACUUCUUUGAGUGCAUACCCCAACCUCUUUCUGGCGACUUCUUUGUCUUCGUUAACAUCGGAGUCAGCAUGAACAGAGAUUAACACUCGUUCAGCCUGCGCCUUUGGAUCGAAAUCUGAUUUUUUGUAAUCUGAA
Molecule: non-coding RNA, 360 nt
Organism: Schizosaccharomyces pombe (fission yeast)
Lineage: Eukaryota; Fungi; Ascomycota; Schizosaccharomycetes; Schizosaccharomycetales; Schizosaccharomycetaceae
Source: the annotation of a GenBank genome assembly